AGAGUUUGAUCCUGGCUCAGAACGAACGCUGGCGGCCUGCUUAACACAUGCAAGUCGAACGAUGGCUUCGGCCAUAGUGGCGGACGGGUGAGUAGCGCGUGGGAACCUGCCCCGAGUACGGAAUAACCGCUGGAAACGGCGGCUAAUACCGUAUGAGCCCUGAGGGGGAAAGAUUUAUCGCCUUGGGAGGGGCCCGCGUCCGAUUAGGUAGUUGGUGAGGUAAAGGCUCACCAAGCCUGCGAUCGGUAGCUGGUCUGAGAGGAUGAUCAGCCACACUGGGACUGAGACACGGCCCAGACUCCUACGGGAGGCAGCAGUGGGGAAUAUUGGACAAUGGGGGCAACCCUGAUCCAGCAAUGCCGCGUGAGUGAUGAAGGCCUUCGGGUUGUAAAGCUCUUUCACCCACGACGAUGAUGACGGUAGUGGGAGAAGAAGCCCCGGCUAACUUCGUG
This 452-nucleotide ribosomal RNA is filed under the name uncultured bacterium. RNAcentral describes it as "bacterial SSU rRNA". It matches the Rfam family "Bacterial small subunit ribosomal RNA", at positions 8 to 507 of the family's 1533-position model. The record is from RNAcentral.